AGCGAACGCUGGCGGCAGGCCUAACACAUGCAAGUCGAGCGAACUCUUCGGAGUUAGUGGCGGACGGGUGAGUAACACGUGGGAACGUGCCUUUUGGUUCGGAAUAACUCAGGGAAACUUGUGCUAAUACCGAAUGUGCCCUUCGGGGGAAAGUUUUAUCGCCAUUAGAGCGGCCCGCGUCUGAUUAGCUAGUUGGUGAGGUAAAAGCUCACCAAGGCGACGAUCAGUAGCUGGUCUGAGAGGAUGACCAGCCACCCUGGCACUGAGACACGGCCCAGACUCCUACGGGAGGCAGCAGUGGGGAAUCUUGCGCAAUGGGCGAAAGCCUGCCGCAGCCAUGCCGCGUGAAUGAUGAAGGUCUUAGGAUUGUAAAAUUCUUUCACCGGGGACGAUAAUGACGGUACCCGGAGAAGAAGCCCCGGCUAACUUCGUGCCAGCAGCCGCGGUAA
RNAcentral lists this ribosomal RNA (449 nucleotides) under uncultured bacterium. RNAcentral's name for it is "partial 16S ribosomal RNA". It matches the Rfam family "Bacterial small subunit ribosomal RNA", at positions 29 to 523 of the family's 1533-position model. The record is from RNAcentral.